RNAcentral lists this ribosomal RNA (791 nucleotides) under uncultured archaeon. Its description in RNAcentral is "bacterial SSU rRNA". It matches the Rfam family "Archaeal small subunit ribosomal RNA", at positions 103 to 879 of the family's 1478-position model. The record is from RNAcentral.
GCUAACCUGCCCUGGGACGAGAACAACCCCGGGAAACUGGGGCUAAUUCGCGAUAGGUGAAGAACUCUGGAAUGAGUCUUCGCCCAAAAGACGUUGGGGUUAUGCUCUCCAACGCCGCCCAAGGAUGGGGCCGCGGCCGAUCAGGUUGUUGGUGAGGUAAUGGCUCACCAAGCCUUUUACCGGUGCGGGCCGUGGGAGCGGGAGCCCGGAGAUGGGCACUGAGACAAGGGCCCAGGCCCUACGGGGCGCAGCAGUCGCGAAAACUUUGCAAUAAGCGAAAGCUUGACAGGGCUAUCCCGAGUGCCAUCCGCUGAGGAAGGCUUUUACCCAGUCUAGAACGCUGGGGGAAUAAGGAGAGGGCAAGUCUGGUGUCAGCCGCCGCGGUAAUACCAGCUCUCCGAGUGGUGUGGAUGUUUAUUGGGCCUAAAGCAUCCGUAGCUGGCUAGGUUAGUCCCCUGUUAAAUCCACCGAAUUAAUCGUUGGAUUGCGGGGGAUACUGCUUGGCUAGGGGACGAGAGAGGCAGACGGUAUUUCCGGGGUAGGGGUGAAAUCCUAUAAUCCCGGGAAGACCACCAGUGGCGAAGGCUGUCUGCUAGAACGCGCCCGACGGUGAGGGACGAAAGCUGGGGGAGCGAACCGGAUUAGAUACCCGGGUAGUCCCAGCUGUAAACGAUGCAGACUAGGUGUUUGGACGGCCACGUGCCGUUCUAGUGCCGCAGGGAAGCUGUUAAGUCUGCCGCCUGGGGAGUACGAUCGCAAGAUUGAACUUAAAGGAAUUGGCGGGGGAGCAC